This 331-nucleotide unclassified non-coding RNA is filed under the name soil metagenome. RNAcentral describes it as "partial contains 5.8S ribosomal RNA, internal transcribed spacer 2, and large subunit ribosomal RNA". The stretch from base 1 to 120 matches the Rfam family "5.8S ribosomal RNA", at positions 35 to 154 of the family's 154-position model. The record is from RNAcentral.
GAUGAAGAACGUAGCGAAAUGCGAUAAGUAAUGUGAAUUGCAGAAUUCAGUGAAUCAUCGAAUCUUUGAACGCACAUUGCGCCCCCUGGUAUUCCGGGGGGCAUGCCUGUUCGAGCGUCAUUUCACCACUCAAGCCUCGCUUGGUAUUGGGCAACGCGGUCCGCCGCGUGCCUCAAAUCGACCGGCUGGGUCUUCUGUCCCCUAAGCGUUGUGGAAACUAUUCGCUAAAGGGUGUUCGGGAGGCUACGCCGUAAAACAACCCCAUUUCUAAGGUUGACCUCGGAUCAGGUAGGGAUACCCGCUGAAUUUAAGCAUAUCAAUAAGCGGAGGA